Molecule: ribosomal RNA, 253 nt
Filed under: uncultured bacterium
Lineage: Bacteria
Description: partial 16S ribosomal RNA
Rfam family: Bacterial small subunit ribosomal RNA
Source: RNAcentral
UACAGAGGUCUCAAGCGUUGUGCGGAUUCAUGGGGCGUAAAGGGUGUGUAGGUGGCGCGCUAAGUCGGGUGUGAAAUUUCGGAGCUUAACUCUGAAACUGCAUUCGAUACUGGCGUGCUUGAGGACUGGAGAGGAGACUGGAAUUCAUGGUGUAGCAGUGAAAUGCGUAGAGAUCAUGAGGAAGACCAGUGGCGAAGGCGGGUCUCUGGACAGUUCCUGACACUGAGACACGAAGGCCAGGGGAGCAAACGGG